AGCGAACGCUGGCGGCGUGCUUGACACAUGCAAGUCGAACGUGAAAUGUAGCAAUACAGAGUAAAGUGGCGUACGGGUGAGUAACACGUGGGUAAUCUACCACAGAGCCUGGAAUAACCGACCGAAAGGUUGGCUAAUACUGGAUAGUUCAAAUGAAAUAUAAUGUUUCGAUUGGGAAAGGGAGCGAGCAAUCGCCUUCACUUUUUGAUGAGCCCGCGUCUGAUUAGCUAGUUGGUAGGGUAAUGGCCUACAAAGGCGACGAUCAGUAGCUGGUCUGAGAGGAUGAUCAGCCACACUGGAACUGAAACACGGUCCAGACUCCUACGGGAGGCAGCAGUGGGGAAUCUUGCGCAAUGGACGAAAGUCUGACGCAGCCACGCCGCGUGAGUGAAGAAGGCCUUCGGGUUGUAAAGCUCUGUCGGAAGGGACAAAAACGUUUAAGGUUAAUAGCCUUAGAUCUUGAUGGUACCUUCAAAGGAAGCACCGGCUAACUUCGUGCCAGCCGCCGCCGUAA
RNAcentral lists this ribosomal RNA (514 nucleotides) under uncultured bacterium. Its description in RNAcentral is "partial 16S ribosomal RNA". It matches the Rfam family "Bacterial small subunit ribosomal RNA", at positions 29 to 523 of the family's 1533-position model. The record is from RNAcentral.